Paenibacillus naphthalenovorans is the source of this 264-nucleotide non-coding RNA. It matches the Rfam family "Bacterial large signal recognition particle RNA". From Rfam's summary of the family: The signal recognition particle (SRP) is a universally conserved ribonucleoprotein involved in the co-translational targeting of proteins to membranes. Archaeal SRP consists of a 7S RNA and homologues of the eukaryotic SRP19 and SRP54 proteins. The record is from Rfam. Lineage: Bacteria; Bacillati; Bacillota; Bacilli; Caryophanales; Paenibacillaceae.
CCGUGCUAGACGGGGAGGUAGCGGUGCCCUGUAACCCGCAAUCCGCUGUAGCGGGGUCGAACGCCUAAUCGCGGUAUUGCGAUGUGAGGGUUGGGUUUUAAAGUCGGUGUUGAGAGUCGGGUCCUUCGCAAUGGAUGCCCGUGAACCCGGUCAGGUCCGGAAGGAAGCAGCCGUAAGCGGGAUGGUUCAUGUGCCGAAGGGUGGCCUAACUUGAGUCGAUGAUAAAAAUUCCACUUGGAUCGUAAUAUCAAGGUAGGUGCACGG